This 468-nucleotide ribosomal RNA is filed under the name uncultured bacterium. Its description in RNAcentral is "bacterial SSU rRNA". It matches the Rfam family "Bacterial small subunit ribosomal RNA", at positions 34 to 518 of the family's 1533-position model. The record is from RNAcentral.
CGCUGGCGGCACGCCUAACACAUGCAAGUCGAACGGAGAUUGAGAGCUUGCUCUUAAAUCUUAGUGGCGGACGGGUGAGUAACACGUGAGCAACCUGCCUCUGAGAGAGGGAUAGCUUCUGGAAACGGAUGGUAAUACCUCAUAACAUAGCUGGACCGCAUGAUCCGGUUAUCAAAGAUUUAUCACUCAGAGAUGGGCUCGCGUCUGAUUAGCUAGUUGGUGAGGUAACGGCCCACCAAGGCGACGAUCAGUAGCCGGACUGAGAGGUUGAACGGCCACAUUGGGACUGAGACACGGCCCAGACUCCUACGGGAGGCAGCAGUGAGGGAUAUUGCACAAUGGAGGAAACUCUGAUGCAGCGAUGCCGCGUGGAGGAAGAAGGUUUUCGGAUUGUAAACUCCUGUUUCGAGGGACGAUAAUGACGGUACCUCGGGAGGAAGCUCCGGCUAACUACGUGCCAGCAGCGGC